CUGAAGCGUGCUGGACUCAUGCUUCAAGAAGCAGAUAAACUGGGCUGCAAGCAGUUUGUUACUCCUGCAGAUGUGGUUUCAGGCAAUCCUAAACUUAAUUUAGCUUUUGUAGCUAAUUUGUUUAACACAUACCCAUGCCUGCACAAGCCGAAUAAUAAUGACAUCGAUAUGAAUUUACUGGAAGGAGAGAGCAAGGAAGAGAGAACAUUUCGGAACUGGAUGAAUUCCUUGGGAGUCAACCCAUACAUUAAUCAUUUGUACAGUGACCUUGCAGAUGCUUUAGUGAUCUUUCAGCUCUAUGAGAUGAUCCGAGUGCCAGUCAACUGGAGCCAUGUCAACAAACCUCCUUAUCCUGCCCUUGGAGGGAACAUGAAGAAGGUGAAUGAAAUAAUGGCCAUGGAUAUAUUGUUAUUGUUCUGAUAUGAAACAAAGAAUUUAGAGUUUCAUGAAGUUAAACGUGCUCUGUCCCCACAAUUCUGAUUCAGACCAAAAUGUGUUAAGCUUAAUAGCCUUUUUACAAGUUUGCUUUAAUAAAUUUAAAGAUGAAGGCAAUCCCUCUAGUCAGACACUUUAUAUAACUAUUUUCAUCUUUAUCAAGUCAUAGUACUUAAUGUUCUUUGAGAUGUCCUGUAAAUGUAUUCUUUUUUACAAUUGGUAUAACGUUCAGAAUGUUUAUUGGUUAUCCACUCAUUUAUUCAACAGAUAUUUAUCAAUUACCUAAUACCUAUACAGUGUUAUGCAGGAUGUA
This 748-nucleotide small RNA is filed under the name Pan troglodytes (chimpanzee). RNAcentral describes it as "retained intron". Lineage: Eukaryota; Metazoa; Chordata; Mammalia; Primates; Hominidae. The record is from RNAcentral.